AUUAAAAUAAUUAUUUAAUUUAAAAGAUUUUGUAUUUUUAAUUAAAAUAAUAUAAAGAUUUAUUAAAUUUAAGAAAAAUUAAAAUUUAUUAUAGAUUAUUAGUAUUGAAAAAUAAAUUUUUUAUAUAGGUAAAAGAAGAAUAAUUUUGUACCUUGUGUAUCAGGGUUUAUUAAAAAUAGAUUAAAAAUUUAAUUAUCUCGAAUUUAAAAGAUCUAAUUAACUAUAAAUUUUAUUGUUAAAUAAAUAUUUAUAAUAGAUAAUUAGUAAUGAAACGUUAUUCGUUUUUAAAUAUAUCUAGUUUUUUAAGAAAAAAAUUAAAUUUUUUAGGUAAUUUGUAAAUUAAUAAAUUUUUAUUAGUUUUUAAUUAUUAAAAAAUAUAUUGAGGGAUAAGCUUUAAUAUAGAAUAUUAUAAUUAAUUUUUAAAAAUUAAGUUUUAUAGGAUUAAAAAUUUCUUUUUUAAGUUUUUAAUAAUUUAAUUUAAUAAAUAUAAAAUUUUUAUUUAAUUUAAGUUUUUUAUUAAAAUGUUUUAAUAAUUUAUAUUUUAAAAGAAAUAAUGAUAAAAUUAGUAUAAUUUUUUGUAAUAGUUAGUUUAAUUUAAAUAUAAAUUAUAAGAAUUCGGCAAAUUUAUUUUUCAAAUGUUUAUUAAAAACAUUUCUUUUUGAUAAUAAUUUAAAGUAGGACCUGCCCACUGAAUAUUUUGAAGGGCCGCAGUAUUUUGACUGUGCAAAGGUAGCAUAAUCAUUAGUUUUUUAAUUGAAAGCUGGAAUGAAUGGUUUAAUGAAAAAAUAACUUUUUUUGAUUUAAUAAUUUAGAAUUUUAUUUUUAAGUUAAAAAGCUUAGAUAUACUUAUAAGACGAGAAGACCCUAUAGAGUUUUAUUUUUAUUAUAUUAAAAAUUUUUAGAAUUUAAUAAUUUUAUUUUAGUAAAAAUUUAAUUGGGGUGAUUAAAAAAUUAAAAAAACUUUUUUUUAUUUAUACAUUGAUUUAUGAAUUUUUGAUCCAAUAUUUUUGAUUAAAAGAUUAAAUUACCUUAGGGAUAACAGCGUAAUUUUUCUUUAGAGUUCAUAUUAAAAGAAAAGAUUGCGACCUCGAUGUUGGAUUAAAAUUUAUUAUUGGUGUAGAAGCUAAUAUAUUAGGUCUGUUCGACCUUUAAAAUUUUACAUGAUCUGAGUUUAGACCGGUGUAAGCCAGGUCGGUUUCUAUCUUUAAAAAAAAAUUAUAUUUUAGUACGAAAGGACCAAAUAUAAAUUUAAUAAAUUUUAAUUUGAAUAUAAAU
Molecule: ribosomal RNA, 1275 nt
Filed under: Nephus sp. 1 EL-2020
Lineage: Eukaryota; Metazoa; Arthropoda; Insecta; Coleoptera; Coccinellidae
Description: 16S ribosomal RNA
Rfam family: Archaeal large subunit ribosomal RNA (bases 1035-1193)
Source: RNAcentral